Molecule: long non-coding RNA, 1155 nt
Filed under: Felis catus (domestic cat)
Lineage: Eukaryota; Metazoa; Chordata; Mammalia; Carnivora; Felidae
Description: lncRNA (ENSFCAG00000052549.1)
Source: RNAcentral
AUGAGCUGCCUUUGGACGAAGCUGAGUGUCUGCUGUGAGACCUUCCUAAUUUCCCCUGCAACCAGUGUGCAUGGUGGAAACAGGAAGCUAUCCCACACAGAACACCGCAUCAAUUAUGAUCAGAUUGGGGAAAUUCUCUUUGAUAAGCAUGUUCCGCCAACCUGUGCAUCUAGCUUUGAUGGCAAUCAGCAGGAGAGGGGACCGUGUUAUUCACUAGGCUGGCACUCUGCUCGAAGCCUCGGACCUCGUUUGUUUUCAGGGGCUCCGAGGGCUUCUCCCUGAGCCGCAGCCCUCUGGCUCCUCACGCGACAUGUAAAUCGUGGCUUCAGAAGGGAAAUGGCUGUUUGGCUGCACACGGGCAACGUACAUAUACUUUACAAAACUGAAUUCUGUCACUUAGACUGUGCUUUAGUUUUGCUUUGGAAAAGGAAUCCUGGUCAGAUGCUUUGUGAGUGAAGACAAAACAUGCUGAGAAGGGUGUGGAUAGAUGCCCAAUUAAAGAAGGAGGAAUCGGGCACUAAAUAGUAGGGGAGAGACUUUAUGAGUGGGCACGAGAGACCUGGGUUCGAAUCCUGGCCUCACUGUGAUCCCCAGUUCCCAGGCUUGCUGUGAGGGUCGAUGAAACCCUGGAUUGUGACCAGUAGAUCACCGGACGCUGUUUUCGGUCCUGUCGCUACAAUGUUCUUUGCAACUAAACACACCUCAACAUGGUAACCUCUGGCUUUUCUCUUUCCUACAUGAAACCAUUUGGUAAGGAACCUUUGCAAUGCAAACCCUUACUUUUUUCUUAAAUUCUAUGCGAUGAAGCAAACGUGGCUCGGUAUCUGUUGUCCAUGAUAGAGUAGGUUAUUGGAAUACAAUGAAAUGAAAGAGAGGUACGCUUAUCACCUCCCCACUGGACUCCCAAGGCUAGCAAUGCCUCUCAGGCACGUGGUUCCAUGGUCCAAGUACACAAGUCAAAACAUGUCCUCACCAUCGUAAGAGACACAUAGCACACACCCCACAGCAUCUUUGGACUCAUUCACUUUUGUGUACCGUGAACGCACUACACGUGAUUUCUACUUUACCUGAAUCUUAAUUUGCAAAAAUUGUUUCUGUGAUUACUGGUUUAAAUCAUGAAAUAAACAUCAAUAUUCCUGAAAAGCCCCUUUCGGA